CCUACGGGAGGCAGCAGUGGGGAAUAUUGGGCAAUGGAGGCAACUCUGACCCAGCAACGCCGCGUGAAUGAUGAAGGUCUUCGGAUUGUAAAGUUCUUUUUUUAGGGAAGAAGAAUGUGACGGUACCUCAGGAAUAAGCCUCGGCUAACUACGUGCCAGCAGCCGCGGUAAUACGUAGGAGGCAAGCGUUAUCCGGAUUGACUGGGUGUAAAGGGUGCGUAGGUGGGUUGACAAGUUAGUAGCGCAAUUCCGGGGCUCAACUGCGAAACUACUACUAAAACUGUUGGACUUGAGUGCAGGAGAGGCAAUCGGAAUUCCUAGUGUAGCGGUGGAAUGCGUAGAUAUUAGGAAGAACACCAGUGGCGAAGGCAGAUUGCUAGACUGUAACUGACACUGAGGCACGAAAGCGUGGGGAGCAAACAGGAUUAGAUACCCUUGUAGUC
RNAcentral lists this ribosomal RNA (443 nucleotides) under uncultured bacterium. RNAcentral describes it as "partial 16S ribosomal RNA". It matches the Rfam family "Bacterial small subunit ribosomal RNA", at positions 338 to 795 of the family's 1533-position model. The record is from RNAcentral.